This 441-nucleotide ribosomal RNA is filed under the name uncultured bacterium. RNAcentral's name for it is "partial 16S ribosomal RNA". It matches the Rfam family "Bacterial small subunit ribosomal RNA", at positions 338 to 795 of the family's 1533-position model. The record is from RNAcentral.
CCUACGGGAGGCUGCAGUGGGGAAUCUUGGGCAAUGGGCGCAAGCCUGACCCAGCAACGCCGCAUGAAGGAUGAAGGUUUUCGGAUUGUAAACUUCUGUCGCGAGGGACGAAGAUUGUCGGUACCUCGUAAGAACGCUCCGGCUAACUACGUGCCAGCAGCGGCGGUAUGCCGGAGGUCGGAGGCGUUGGCCGGAUUGACUGGGCGAAAGGGGAGUGUAGGUGGCUCAUUAAGUGAGAUGUAAAAACCACGGGCUCAACCUUUGGCCUGCAUGUGAAACUGUGUUACUUGAGUACUGUAGGGGUAGACGGAAUUCCUAGUGUAGCGGUGAAAUGCGUAGAUAUUAGAAGGAACACCAGUGGCGAAGGCGGGCUGCUGGACAGGAACUGACGCUAAGGCGCGAAAGCGUAGGGAGCAAACGGGAUUAGAUACCCGAGUAGUC